AUGGCUCAAUUGCCCCCGGGCUUCGUCCCCACUGUUUCUCCCCCUCCACCGUGGUGGCCAUUCCAUCCUUCACCACCGCCGCCGCCGUCCAAUGCUAAGCCAUCGUCCACUCAAGGCAGGAUACUCGCCGGCCUCCUCGUCGGCGUCGUGGCGUCCUUGAUCGUGUUCACCGCCGUGUGCACCCUCUGCAGGGAGUACCGCGAUCGUCGCGCCCGAGCCGCGGCCGCCGCUUGGCGGUGGCCCGUGCCGGAACGUAAUGGCGUCCGCGUCGAGGAGCGGCAGCUUGGCCGGGCCUGCGCCGCCAGCCCCACGGCCGGCCUCCCGGCGUUCACGUACAGCCCGUCCGUGAAGCACAACGUGACGGGCGGUGGGGAGGAGGCGGCGACGUGCUCGGUGUGCCUCGGCGUGCUGCAGCUAGGGGAGACGGUGCGGCUGCUGCCGGCGUGCCUGCACCUGUACCACGCGGAGUGCAUCGACCCGUGGCUGGAGGCGCACUCGACGUGCCCGAUCUGCCGCUCCGACACCGGCCCGGCCGCGGGCGCCGGCUGGCUACCGCCUGUUUAG
Molecule: ribosomal RNA, 564 nt
Filed under: Triticum aestivum (bread wheat)
Lineage: Eukaryota; Viridiplantae; Streptophyta; Magnoliopsida; Poales; Poaceae
Description: partial small subunit ribosomal RNA
Source: RNAcentral